Molecule: ribosomal RNA, 431 nt
Filed under: uncultured microorganism
Description: bacterial SSU rRNA
Rfam family: Bacterial small subunit ribosomal RNA
Source: RNAcentral
GGGCUGCAGUGAGGAAUUUUCCGCAAUGGGCGAAAGCCUGACGGAGCGACGCCGUGUGUGGGAUGAAGUCUUUCGGGAUGUAAACCACUGUCAGAGGGAAAGAUAUUGACGGUACCCUCAGAGGAAGGCCCGGCUAACUACGUGCCAGCAGCCGCGGUAAUACGUAGGGGCCAAGCGUUAUCCGGAAUUAUUGGGCGUAAAGGGCGCGUAGGCGGUUUUGUCAGUCAGCUGUUAAAUCCCCGGGCUUAACCCGGUUCCGCAGCUGAUACUGCAAGACUAGAGAAUGGUAGAGGAAAGCGGAACUUCCGGUGUAGCGGUGAAAUGCGUAGAUAUCGGAAGGAACACCAGUGGCGAAGGCGGCUUUCUGGGCCAUUUCUGACGUUGAGGCGCGAAAGCUAGGGGAGCAAACGGGAUUAGAUACCCGAGUAGUC